CGGACGGGUGAGUAAUGUCUGGGAAACUGCCUGAUGGAGGGGGAUAACUACUGGAAACGGUAGCUAAUACCGCAUAACGUCGCAAGACCAAAGAGGGGGACCUUAGGGCCUCUUGCCAUCGGAUGUGCCCAGAUGGGAUUAGCUAGUAGGUGGGGUAACGGCUCACCUAGGCGACGAUCCCUAGCUGGUCUGAGAGGAUGACCAGCCACACUGGAACUGAGACACGAUCCAG
This 232-nucleotide ribosomal RNA is filed under the name uncultured bacterium. RNAcentral describes it as "partial 16S ribosomal RNA". It matches the Rfam family "Bacterial small subunit ribosomal RNA", at positions 99 to 334 of the family's 1533-position model. The record is from RNAcentral.